AGGUAGCGAAAUUCCUUGUCGGGUAAGUUCCGACCCGCACGAAAGGCGUAACGAUCUGGGCACUGUCUCAACGAGAGACUCGGUGAAAUUAUAAUACCCGUGAAGAUGCGGGUUACCCGCGACAGGACGGAAAGACCCCAUGGAGCUUUACUGUAGCUUGAUAUUGGAUCUCGAUGUGUUAUGUAGAGGAUAGGUGGGAGACUAUGAUGUUAGGACGCUAGUUCUAACGGAGUCAACCUUGGAAUACCACCCUUAGCAUGUUGAGAUUCUAACCUCGACCCAUUAUCUGGGUCAGGGACAGUGUCUGGUGGGCAGUUUGACUGGGGCGGUCGCCUCCCAAAAAGUAACGGAGGCGCUCAAAGGUUCCCUCAGAAUGGUUGGAAAUCAUUCGAAGAGCGUAAUGGUAUAAGGGAGCUUUACUGCGAGACCUACAAGUCAAGCAGUUACGAAAGUAGGACAUAGUGGGCCGGCGAUUCAGAAUGGAAUGGUCGUCGCUUAACGGAUAAAAGUUACCCUGGGGAUAACAGGCUGAUACCACCCAAUAGUUCACAUAGACGGUGGUGUUUGGCACCUCGAUGUCGGCUCGUCACAUCCUGGAGGUGGAGUCGCUUCCAAGGGUUGGGCUGUUCGCCCAUUAAAGUGGCACGCGAGCUGGGUUCAGAACGUCGUGAGACAGUUCGGUCCCUAUCCGUCGUGGGCGCAGGAAAAUUGAGAAGAGCUAUCCUUAGUACGAGAGGACCGGGAUGGACAUACCUCUGGUGUAUCUGUUGUAACGCCAGUUGCAGUGCAGAGUAGCUAUGUAUGGAAUCGAUAACCGCUGAAAGCAUCUAAGCGGGAAGCGAACUUCAAGAUGAAUUUUCCCAUAUUUUUAUAAUAGUAAGAUCCCUGAAAGACUAUCAGGUUGAUAGGCUGGAGAUGGAAGUGUAGUGAUACAUUGAGUUGACCAGUACUAAUAGAUCGAGGAUUUAACCAU
This 973-nucleotide ribosomal RNA is filed under the name metagenome. RNAcentral describes it as "bacterial LSU rRNA". It matches the Rfam family "Bacterial large subunit ribosomal RNA", at positions 1954 to 2925 of the family's 2925-position model. The record is from RNAcentral.